UCGAUUUGGCAGCACGUAUACUAAAAUUGGAACGAUACAGAGAAGAUUAGCAUGGCCUCUGAAAAAAAAAAAAAGAAAGUAAAGACCAUUUG
RNAcentral lists this small nuclear RNA (92 nucleotides) under Myotis lucifugus (little brown bat). Lineage: Eukaryota; Metazoa; Chordata; Mammalia; Chiroptera; Vespertilionidae. The record is from RNAcentral.